This 253-nucleotide ribosomal RNA is filed under the name uncultured bacterium. RNAcentral's name for it is "partial 16S ribosomal RNA". It matches the Rfam family "Bacterial small subunit ribosomal RNA", at positions 524 to 776 of the family's 1533-position model. The record is from RNAcentral.
UACAGAGGGUGCAAGCGUUAAUCGGAGUUACUGGGCGUAAAGGGCGCGUAGGCGGUUACUUAAGUGAGAUGUGAAAUCCCUGGGCUUAACCUAGGAACUGCAUCUCAUACUGAGUGACUGGAGUAUUGUAGAGGGUAGUGGAAUUUCCGGUGUAGCGGUGAAAUGCGUAGAGAUCGGAAGGAACACCAGUGGCGAAGGCGGCUACCUGGACAAAUACUGACGCUGAGGCGCGAGAGCGUGGGGAGCAAACAGG